This 331-nucleotide long non-coding RNA is filed under the name Gallus gallus (chicken). RNAcentral describes it as "long non-coding RNA NONGGAT009323". Lineage: Eukaryota; Metazoa; Chordata; Aves; Galliformes; Phasianidae. The record is from RNAcentral.
CAGUGUCACACUUGGUGCGUGCCAGCUUUGCAUCUGAAGUUAAAGAGCCAGGGAACUGCACCAGAUCAGACCUCCGAGGAAGAAGCUUUUGCAGGAAUCCAUGACCACACAGAAGGAAAACGGAGACAGCAACCUUGUCUCCCAAAGGUGUUGUGGGAUUUCUCACCUGAAAAUCCUGCUUGCACGGCUGCUUCAUUCCGCUGGUUUCCCAGAUCAGUGCUGUACCUUCCUGAUUUGCUGUAGAAGGAUUGCCAUCUCAGCUCGUCUGCACUGCUUAAAGGUGGUUGCUUUGGCUUGAAUGUGCCAAGUGAGUUCCUUUUGAGGAAGCUGA